AACGAAGAUACUUAAAAUGAGAGCUUCGGCAGGAUUUUUAUUUAUCUUAGUGGCGGACGGGUGAGUAACGUGUGGGCAACCUGCCCUAUACUGGGGAAUAAUCACUGGAAACGGUGACUAAUACCGCAUGUCAUUACGGAAGGGCAUCCUUCUGUAAGAAAAGGAGUAAUUCGGUAUAGGAUGGGCCCGCAUCUGAUUAGCUAGUUGGUGAGAUAACAGCCCACCAAGGCGACGAUCAGUAGCCGACCUGAGAGGGUGAUCGGCCACAUUGGGACUGAGACACGGCCCAAACUCCUACGGGAGGCAGCAGUGGGGAAUAUUGCACAAUGGGGGAAACCCUGAUGCAGCAACGCCGCGUGAAGGAAGAAGGUUUUCGGAUCGUAAACUUCUAUCAACAGGGACGAAGAAAGUGACGGUACCUGAAUAAGAAGCCCCGGCUAACUACGUGCCAGCAGCCGCGGUAAUACGUAGGGGGCAAGCGUUAUCCGGAAUUACUGGGUGUAAAGGGAGCGUAGGCGGCACGCCAAGCCAGAUGUGAAAGCCCGAGGCUUAACCUCGCGGAUUGCAUUUGGAACUGGCGAGCUAGAGUACAGGAGAGGAAAGCGGAAUUCCUAGUGUAGCGGUGAAAUGCGUAGAUAUUAGGAAGAACACCAGUGGCGAAGGCGGCUUUCUGGACUGAAACUGACGCUGAGGCUCGAAAGCGUGGGGAGCAAACAGGAUUAGAUACCCUGGUAGUCCACGCCGUANACGAUGAGUGCUAGGUGUCGGGGAGNAAUCCUCGGUGCCGCAGCUUACGCAAUAAGCAC
This 806-nucleotide ribosomal RNA is filed under the name uncultured bacterium. RNAcentral's name for it is "bacterial SSU rRNA". It matches the Rfam family "Bacterial small subunit ribosomal RNA", at positions 50 to 867 of the family's 1533-position model. The record is from RNAcentral.